CGCUAUCACUCCUACGGGAGGCAGCAGUGGGGAAUAUUGCACAAUGGGGGAAACCCUGAUGCAGCCAUGCCGCGUGUGUGAAGAAGGCCUUCGGGUUGUAAAGCACUUUCAGUAGGGAGGAAGGUAGUGUAGUUAACACCUGCAUUAUUUGACGUUACCUACAGAAGAAGCACCGGCUAACUCCGUGCCAGCAGCCGCGGUAAUACGGAGGGUGCGAGCGUUAAUCGGAAUUACUGGGCGUAAAAGCGCAUGCAGGCGGCCUGUUAAGUCAGAUGUGAAAGCCCGGGGCUUAACCUCGGAAUUGCAUUUGAAACUGGCAGGCUAGAGUCUUGUAGAGGGGGUAGAAUUUCAGGUGUAGCGGUGAAAUGCGUAGAGAUCUGAAGGAAUACCAGUGGCGAAGGCGGCCCCCUGGACAAAGACUGACGCUCAGAUGCGAAAGCGUGGGGAGCAAACAGGAUUAGAUACCCUGGUAG
RNAcentral lists this ribosomal RNA (473 nucleotides) under uncultured bacterium. Its description in RNAcentral is "bacterial SSU rRNA". It matches the Rfam family "Bacterial small subunit ribosomal RNA", at positions 328 to 793 of the family's 1533-position model. The record is from RNAcentral.